This 204-nucleotide long non-coding RNA is filed under the name Prunus persica (peach). RNAcentral's name for it is "long non-coding RNA (PPER_LNC004422)". The record is from RNAcentral. Lineage: Eukaryota; Viridiplantae; Streptophyta; Magnoliopsida; Rosales; Rosaceae.
CUUGAUUCUUUGGGGACAUCAAAUUAUUGAGGAGGGACUUGUUUGGAGAGUGUGGAAUGGUUUUUCGAUCCGAGUGUUCUAGGAUAAGGGGAUACCUAAACCAAUCACCUUCAGACCUUUGCUGAAUAAAGGAUUAAAUGGGGAAGCAAUGGUGGCUGACUUGAUUAUGCCAUCACGAAGGUGGGAUUUACAGUUGCUAGAACA